AGUUCUUGCAACACCUCCACCUGAAAGACUUUACCCAACUGCAGUUAUUGAAAGGAUUAAUAAAGACUCUGUACAAGUAAAACACUCAGAACAGGCCUGGACUUCAAAUGAUUAUCUAGACCCCAGUUGGCAGUACAGUACAACACAAUCUCCUCCCUACCAAACAUUACCUUACUCGAACCCCAGCUCAGAUUGGACUCCGAUCAAGUUAAACAACAAUAACAUUGUUAAAGAUAAAGUAACAACUAGAUACAGUGAAAACUUGGGUAACAGUCUUAUAGAUGAAUAUGAGGGCGGCAGAACAAAAGAUUACACUGAUCAAUAUUAUGAAUACAAUGAUUAUGAUGAAUACAACAUAUCUGACAAUGAUUCCGAAGUAUAUGACACUAGCAAGCUUUUAACAGAAGAUCCUGAGUCUGGAGGAUAUAUUAAUAACCUGCAACCUCAAUAUAUCAAGG
Long non-coding RNA from Eurytemora carolleeae, 458 nucleotides. RefSeq lists it as uncharacterized. NCBI's taxonomy places the organism in Eukaryota, Metazoa, Arthropoda, Copepoda, Calanoida, Temoridae. The record is from RefSeq and is a predicted model, not a curated record. The transcript has 3 exons.